GCCGAGGUAGCCUAGCCUGGCCAAGGCGCGCGCCUGGAAAGCGUGUGGCGUCAAGCCUCGAGGGUUCAAAUCCCUCCCUCGGCG
This 84-nucleotide transfer RNA is filed under the name Halorutilus salinus. It matches the Rfam family "tRNA". From Rfam's summary of the family: Transfer RNA (tRNA) molecules are approximately 80 nucleotides in length. Their secondary structure includes four short double-helical elements and three loops (D, anti-codon, and T loops). The record is from Rfam by way of RNAcentral. Lineage: Archaea; Methanobacteriati; Methanobacteriota; Halobacteria; Halorutilales; Halorutilaceae.